UGGCAGAUCAUCUUACAGAGUUGAACACU
RNAcentral lists this non-coding RNA (29 nucleotides) under Mus musculus (house mouse). Lineage: Eukaryota; Metazoa; Chordata; Mammalia; Rodentia; Muridae. The record is from RNAcentral.